Molecule: ribosomal RNA, 425 nt
Filed under: uncultured bacterium
Lineage: Bacteria
Description: partial 16S ribosomal RNA
Rfam family: Bacterial small subunit ribosomal RNA
Source: RNAcentral
GUGGGGAAUCUUGCGCAAUGGGCGAAAGCCUGACGCAGCCAUGCCGCGUGAAUGAUGAAGGUCUUAGGAUUGUAAAAUUCUUUCACCGGGGACGAUAAUGACGGUACCCGGAGAAGAAGCUCCGGCUAACUUCGUGCCAGCAGCCGCGGUAAUACGAAGGGGGCUAGCGUUGCUCGGAAUUACUGGGCGUAAAGGGCGCGUAGGCGGACAGCUUAGUCAGAGGUGAAAGCCCAGGGCUCAACCUUGGAAUUGCCUUUGAUACUGGCUGUCUUGAGUUUGGGAGAGGUGAGUGGAGCUCCGAGUGUAGAGGUGAAAUUCGUAGAUAUUCGGAAGAACACCAGUGGCGAAGGCGACUCACUGGCCCAAUACUGACGCUGAGGCGCGAAAGCGUGGGGAGCAAACAGGAUUAGAAACCCGUGUAGUCC